Molecule: ribosomal RNA, 429 nt
Filed under: Triticum aestivum (bread wheat)
Lineage: Eukaryota; Viridiplantae; Streptophyta; Magnoliopsida; Poales; Poaceae
Description: partial small subunit ribosomal RNA
Source: RNAcentral
CUCCUUGGCAGUGACUUAAACAUGAUCACCUUGGCAACCGAUAAGAACACCCCGAAUCUAAACCAUCGCAUCAUGAAUCGAUUCCGAUGUUUCAUUGUUGAUGAGGAGCUCCACAAUAUUUACCUGCACGGGCGCCGCUACACUUGGUCUAGUGAGCGUGACACGCCAACUCUCGUGCGCAACGACAGGAUCCUGUGUACUUCCGGAUGGGAGGUCACACACCCAUACUACCUCUUACACUGCCUCUCCUCCGCGGCGUCCGACCAUUGCCCGUUGGUGGUGGAUUGCGCUGCUCGCCCCGCGGGGGCGCGUAGGUUUCAUUUUGAGCAUUUUUGGCCGAAGCUAGACGGCUUCCAUGACACGGUCUCGGUGAAGGAAAUAUGCCCUAGAGGCAAUAAUAAAGUUAUUAUUUAUUUCCUUAUUUCAUGA